RNAcentral lists this ribosomal RNA (400 nucleotides) under uncultured bacterium. RNAcentral describes it as "bacterial SSU rRNA". It matches the Rfam family "Bacterial small subunit ribosomal RNA", at positions 355 to 747 of the family's 1533-position model. The record is from RNAcentral.
UGGGGAAUAUUGGACAAUGGGGGCAACCCUGAUCCAGCCAUGCCGCGUGUGUGAAGAAGGUCUUCGGAUUGUAAAGCACUUUAAGUUGGGAGGAAGGGCGUCAGGCUAAUAUCCUGACGUUUUGACGUUACCGACAGAAUAAGCACCGGCUAACUCUGUGCCAGCAGCCGCGGUAAUACAGAGGGUGCAAGCGUUAAUCGGAAUUACUGGGCGUAAAGCGCGCGUAGGUGGUUCAGUAAGAUGGGUGUGAAAUCCCCGGGCUCAACCUGGGAACUGCUUUCAUAACUGCUGAGCUAGAGUACGGUAGAGGGUAGUGGAAUUUCCUGUGUAGCGGUGAAAUGCGUAGAUAUAGGAAGGAACACCAGUGGCGAAGGCGACUACCUGGACUGAUACUGACACU